Molecule: ribosomal RNA, 479 nt
Filed under: Streptococcus mitis
Lineage: Bacteria; Bacillati; Bacillota; Bacilli; Lactobacillales; Streptococcaceae
Description: bacterial SSU rRNA
Rfam family: Bacterial small subunit ribosomal RNA
Source: RNAcentral
GACGAACGCUGGCGGCGUGCCUAAUACAUGCAAGUAGAACGCUGAAGGAGGAGCUUGCUUCUCUGGAUGAGUUGCGAACGGGUGAGUAACGCGUAGGUAACCUGCCUGGUAGCGGGGGAUAACUAUUGGAAACGAUAGCUAAUACCGCAUAAUAGCAGUUAUUGCAUGAUAACUGUUUGAAAGGUGCAAUUGCAUCACUACCAGAUGGACCUGCGUUGUAUUAGCUAGUUGGUGAGGUAACGGCUCACCAAGGCGACGAUACAUAGCCGACCUGAGAGGGUGAUCGGCCACACUGGGACUGAGACACGGCCCAGACUCCUACGGGAGGCAGCAGUAGGGAAUCUUCGGCAAUGGACGGAAGUCUGACCGAGCAACGCCGCGUGAGUGAAGAAGGUUUUCGGAUCGUAAAGCUCUGUUGUAAGAGAAGAACGAGUGUGAGAGUGGAAAGUUCACACUGGACGUAUCUACCAGAAAGGACG